Molecule: long non-coding RNA, 2394 nt
Organism: Nematostella vectensis (starlet sea anemone)
Lineage: Eukaryota; Metazoa; Cnidaria; Anthozoa; Actiniaria; Edwardsiidae
Exons: 5
Source: RefSeq, a predicted model, not a curated record
CGGUAUAAACUGCGACUUCGGAGGCAUGUUGUUGUCAACUCAACAGCGCUCGAGGAAUGCCUGAAUUCAUUCCAUUUCAACAAAAUUUGUUUCAUUGUCUACUCUGUGUCUACUGUAGUUAUCUGGAUUCCCAGGAACGCAACAUGCAUACUUUCGACUUUACAUCUAAUCAAUGAAGUACUAUUUUAGGCAUUGAGUGCUCUUGAGUAUAUUUUUAAUUCACUGAUGGACUAGCUUUGACUCCCUGAUGAACAUAGACUUUGUGUUUCCACCUCGAUUGGUCAAAGCGCCUAUUGAAAUUGGAUGAGUUAAUCGUAACAGUGAAACUGGGCCACUGGACUUAGCACCGAAUGUUGGACUAAUGGCUUCCCAGUCGCACUUAACAUUCGCGUCACGUGUUUUAUCGGGUACGAAAUUUUAUACCCGAUAAAACACUGCUACUACUGCACGUGUUUUAAAUAGUACAUCGAUACUAAGUGAAGGGAAAUUUCUUGCUGAACAUUCUAUUUAUUGUGUAUCAGCCUUACAAACGAAAGCCAUCAGCGGAAAUAAAGAAAACCACGGAUUAUGCCUGGCACAACGCAAAAGCGAUAAUUGCCGAUAAGAGUUGCCGCAGUGUCGCUGUCCUGGUAAAUCUUUACAUAAAAUCUACAGUAGAUAUCUUAAAGCGCAGCUGAAAAUAUCUGUAAUUUGCCGUGUCGCGUAUUGUCCCGAAAUAAACAUAAUCAUUCAACCAUGAGUCGCCCUGAACUCGCUCGCAUCCUUUCAGUGAGCCAGGAUCCUAUUACCGCAAGUGUCCGAUGUCAGCUAUGCUAGCCUUGUCUGCUUUGGUAGAAUACUAUUCGCCUUCACUAUGGUUGAUCAUACUAAUCAAUGUCAUUAUAACUGUUAAUAAAUGGGACAGUUUUCCGGGGAAAAGAGGCUUACCCCUCGGAACCAAGUAUAAUAGAGAAUUAGACCUUACGUGAUUAUAGAUAAUAAAGCGCUUUUGACCUUUCAAACGACGCGCUAUGAACCGCCGCCGCCUGGUAAUUAAGUAACACGACCCCGAGCUUUUUUUUCCUUCCCCUUAAGCCGAAACCAAGGCAUCUCACUACCAAUUUCCAAAAUAGCUGUUAAUAUUCUCAACCAGCAUUCAUCUACGUUAAAAGAAACCAUUAUGUCGACCAAGACAUGGGAGAUAUUCUCAUUUAAAGGUGCCAGUGAAAGGGCACUAAAGCAAGGCAAACCUUUAGAGAGUAAGCAAUUUGGAGCAGAGUCGCACUUGUGGAAGCUGAAGUAUGCACCUGAGACAGAAUUGUUUCAUGUUCACCACCUUUGUGAUGACAAAGUUGAUGUAAAUAUAGUGAUGAUGAUUGGAGAUAUGAAAAAAAAAGAUACUAAUUUAAAGCUGGCCAAAGGACAAGCAGCCACCUUCAAUUUUCAAGUUCCGGAUGUAGAAAAAGUUGAAGUCCAUGUGGCCAUUAUGGAACACAAACAAAAGGUUAAAAUAAGCAAACAUCAUUUUGUUUAUACUAGACAAUUCUAUUUAUUUGGGGGCCUAAAAACCCAUUUCCUAUUGAGGGGCCUGAAAUUCUGGGAGGGGGAGUGAGAACAGAAUUGUCAAAGGGGCAAAAAAGAAAAAUCCAUGGGCUUAUAUAAUGAUUUACCCGAGGGGGAAAACUAGGAAAAGUCAUAUUGAAGGGGGAGGGGGGAAAUUGGUAAAUCCAAGGGAGAAAUAACAAGAUCCAAGGGGUAUUAAUUAAUGGUAAUUCCAGGUGUCUUGAAGAAAUACUUCCAAAAGGAGUAAUAGAAGGGUUUAGGGAAUAAAAGCCAUACACGAAGCCAAGAACGAAAAAGAAAAAGAAAAACUGAGAGUGGAACAGAAGACAACAGCAAAAAAAAGAAUUGCAAAAAGUUGAGGAGUAGAGAGAGAGAGAGAGAUACAGGACCUAGAGGAAGAAAUUGAGAAGAAGAUGGAGCUAUUGAGAAAGAAAGAAGAGGAAUUAGGGGAUUUGAGAAAGAAACUGAAGAGGCUGAGACGGAGACAGCGGGAAAGCAAAAGGAGGGAAAAGAAAUGAGGUAGCAUGCAAAGUUUAAAAAAAAAAGACUAAGGUUGGCAUGUCCGAGUCGACAAAGAAUGAAGAGAAAGGAAAGCCAGAAAAUGAAAUAAACAUAAAAAAGAAUGUGUAAAAUCAAGAGAGCAAUUCUUUGUUAUCCCCUGGAAAUACGUCGAAAGUGUUACAGUUAAAUUGAAAAUAUUUGGUUUUUUUUGUUGUUGUUUAUUUUUCUGCAUCCUAAUUUUUAUGUAAAUUGUUUGAUUUCUAAUAAAUCUUGUUAUUUAUAUGCGAAAAUUGUAUUUUGUAAAUUAACAGAUUAAGUGUGAAAAUAAAUGGAUAACUUAUGCUAUCAAAA